Oncorhynchus tshawytscha (Chinook salmon) is the source of this 500-nucleotide long non-coding RNA. NCBI's taxonomy places the organism in Eukaryota, Metazoa, Chordata, Actinopteri, Salmoniformes, Salmonidae. The record is from Ensembl.
CUGGAACUGAUCCAGAACACAGCAGCCCGCCUGGUUUUCAACCUCAUGUCACAUACGGACUACGUUCAGGACAUAUUUUUUAUUUCUAUGCCUGAGAUAUGUGGUUGUCCCACCUGGAUAUUUUAAGAUUAAUGCUGUCAGUCUCUCUGGAUAAGAGCGUCUGCUAAAUGACUCAAAUGUAAAGGUCACUUGUUCAAGGGGGCAGCAGGGUAGCCUAGUGGUUAGAGUGUAGAGGUGGCAGGGUAGCCUAGUGGUUAGAGUGUAGAGGUGGCAGGGUAGCCUAGUGGUUAGAGUGUAGAGGGGGCAGGGUAGCCUAGUGGUUAGAGUGUAGAGGCGGCAGGGUAGCCUAGUGGUUAGAGUGUAGAGGCGGCAGGGUAGCCUAGUGGUUAGAGUGUAGAGGGGGCAGGGUAGCCUAGUGGUUAGAGUGUAGAGGGGGCAGGGUAGCCUAGUGGUUAGAGUGUAGAGGCGGCAGGGUAGCCUAGUGGUUAGAGUGUAGAGGC